UUUUGGGAAGUAAAAAUCGUAACAAGGUCUCCGUAGGUGAACCUGCGGAGGGAUCAUUACACAAAUAUGAAGGCGGGCUGGAACCUCUCGGGGUUACAGCCUUGCUGAAUUAUUCACCCUUGUCUUUUGCGUACUUCUUGUUUCCUUGGUGGGUUCGCCCACCACUAGGACAAACAUAAACCUUUUGUAAUUGCAAUCAGCGUCAGUAACAAAUUAAUAAUUACAACUUUCAACAACGGAUCUCUUGGUUCUGGCAUCGAUGAAGAACGCAGCGAAAUGCGAUAAGUAGUGUGAAUUGCAGAAUUCAGUGAAUCAUCGAAUCUUUGAACGCACAUUGCGCCCUUUGGUAUUCCAAAGGGCAUGCCUGUUCGAGCGUCAUUUGUACCCUCAAGCUUUGCUUGGUGUUGGGCGUCUUGUCUCUAGCUUUGCUGGAGACUCGCCUUAAAGUAAUUGGCAGCCGGCCUACUGGUUUCGGAGCGCAGCACAAGUCGCACUCUCUAUCAGCAAAGGUCUAGCAUCCAUUAAGCCUUUUUUUCAACUUUGACCUCGGAUCAGUACGAUGCCAGCC
RNAcentral lists this ribosomal RNA (568 nucleotides) under Alternaria sp. WS7. RNAcentral's name for it is "eukaryotic LSU rRNA". The stretch from base 225 to 378 matches the Rfam family "5.8S ribosomal RNA". The record is from RNAcentral. Lineage: Eukaryota; Fungi; Ascomycota; Dothideomycetes; Pleosporales; Pleosporaceae.